This is a transfer RNA of Felis catus (domestic cat), 85 nucleotides long. It matches the Rfam family "tRNA". Rfam says of the family: Transfer RNA (tRNA) molecules are approximately 80 nucleotides in length. Their secondary structure includes four short double-helical elements and three loops (D, anti-codon, and T loops). Further hydrogen bonds mediate the characteristic L-shaped molecular structure. tRNAs have two regions of fundamental functional importance: the anti-codon, which is responsible for specific mRNA codon recognition, and the 3' end, to which the tRNAs corresponding amino acid is attached (by aminoacyl-tRNA synthetases). tRNAs cope with the degeneracy of the genetic code in two manners: having more than one tRNA (with a specific anti-codon) for a particular amino acid; and 'wobble' base-pairing, i.e. permitting non-standard base-pairing at the 3rd anti-codon position. NCBI's taxonomy places the organism in Eukaryota, Metazoa, Chordata, Mammalia, Carnivora, Felidae. The record is from Rfam.
GCCUGGGUGGCUCAGUAGGUUAAGCAGCUGACUUCAGCUCAGGUCAUGGUCUUGCGGUCUGUGGGUUUGAGCCCCACGUCAGGCU